Molecule: long non-coding RNA, 1000 nt
Filed under: Homarus americanus (American lobster)
Lineage: Eukaryota; Metazoa; Arthropoda; Malacostraca; Decapoda; Nephropidae
Description: uncharacterized LOC121867561, transcript variant X2
Source: RNAcentral
GUCAGGCGUCAGUGAGUGAGACUGGGUGACCAAAGUGAGCAGGAGCAGCUUACACCUCUCACUAUAUGGUAUAUCAUCACCCUGGCACACAUUCACGUAGAGACACCGUAUAAUCGAGAAAUUCCACACGAGAGAUUAUCAUCCAUGACUAAACCACUACGUAUAAUUAAGAAUGAUUGAUGGGCCUAGGAGAUGGAGCACUGCUGAAAGAGGAAGGUUAUUCAGUGGUGGCUGUGGCAUAUGGGGGCCUGUGUCCGGGAGUUGUUGAAAUUGUGACACAUCCAAAAGUGAGCUCUUACCAUUGUAAUCUACAGUGAGAUGUAAUGUACUGUGCUGUACUGUACUGCUGAGGACUGAGAGUAACACUGUAAGUCGUGUCUGGUCGACUGACGGAGUGGAUCUGUCUCCUCGGAAGUUGGAACGACGGUAUUUCGACGAUGAAUGGACUAUAGCCUUGGAACGAACGACCGUCUAUUGGUGCAGAGUUUAGAGAGUUUCGUCGGAGAUGCGUCUUUGAUAAUCUGCCCCAACACUAUACUGAAUGGCUUCAAUAGAAGAGAAGGUGAAGUGUGUCCUUUGGUUAACUGAGUCAAAGUCUGUAACAGCGGUUAGAAGAAAAUUUACGACUCAUUACAAGAAGGAAGCGCCGCACAGAAAUUCAAUUACAAGAUGGAUGAAGUUUAAGGGACUGGUUCUGUUAAUGACAAGCCACAAACUGGAAGACUGGGAAUAAACCAGGAAACUGUGGAGUCUGUAGAGCAAACUUUUCUGAAUAGUCCAUGUUAAAACAGUAGUUUACUCAUUAAAAGCUCAUUUUUUUAAUGAUCUUCGUGCUAGAAAAUCUGAUGUGAUCAGUACCAUAACUGAAACACAACUGCAGAACGUUUUUGUGGAUAUUCAAACUCGUACUAUGCUUUGUAUCCGUAAUGAUGGUGGAAAAGUUCAAACCUAGCAAUCCUACGAUUAAAGGUGAUAAAACUUAAAUAAAAUAUCUCCAAUA